GUUCUGACAGCCCUGAAAAUGUCUGCUGGUCACCAGACAUGCUAGCUGCAUAUAUUGCCCUUACAGUUGUUAUUGUGCAAGCCCAGGCUUUAGGACUACUUGUGUAUUGUAAACCAUUUCAUUUGUAUGCUUGGGACAAUUGUAAAACCAUGGCCGCAGUCUGUGCACAAGAGCAAGGAGGCGGUAUGCGUCCCAUAGCAUUCUUUUCCAAAGUAGUUCGUGCUCCGGUACAGGGUAUGCCGGCGUGUCUCAGAGCAUUGAUAGCAUGUGCAAUGGCUGUUGAAACUGCUACUACUAUCACACUAGGGCAUCAUACAAUACUUCAUGCCAGUCACCAGGUCACUCAGCUGAUAACAAAUCUCACCACACAACACAUGACAGCCCAGCACUUAAGUGGUUAUGAGAUUCUUUUUUUUAAUACCCAGAAUCUGUCUUUUGGAUUAAACAAGGUUUAGAGAAAGAUCAAAAUGAUCUGUUCUCUAAAGAGGGGAGAAUAGGCAUACUUGAAGAAUAGGCAUAUUUGAAGCAAGCUGCUUUAUUUUCAUCAGUCAGGCACAUAGCAAGCACCAUUCAAUUCCUCAUGAAUUCAUUUUAUAUUAGGAAUCUCAGGCAGCAUGUACAGUCUUUUGUAAGAUCGUGUGAACGCUGCUCUUUUUACACACUUACAGAUUGAGUUUAUUCAUGUAUCCAAAAUUGGUAGGAAACAGCAAUACUUACUGGUCAUAGUUGCUCAGUUUAGUAGAUGGCAUGAGGCCUUUGUGACAUCUAGGGAAGAUGCUAGUGAAGUUUAUUGUUACUGAAAUUAUUCCCAGGUAUGGCUGCCCUCUGCAGAUUGGCUCUGAUAAUGGCCCGG
Molecule: non-coding RNA, 853 nt
Organism: Pelobates cultripes (western spadefoot toad)
Lineage: Eukaryota; Metazoa; Chordata; Amphibia; Anura; Pelobatidae
Source: the annotation of a GenBank genome assembly